Molecule: long non-coding RNA, 2972 nt
Organism: Gorilla gorilla gorilla (western lowland gorilla)
Lineage: Eukaryota; Metazoa; Chordata; Mammalia; Primates; Hominidae
Exons: 5
Source: RefSeq, a predicted model, not a curated record
GGGUUAGGCAGGGUGCAGUGGAGGAGGGUACGCUGUCCCAUCGGCGUGGUACUGUCGGCGGCCCUUCAGAGGAGAUGCUGCCCCACGGAACUACUGGCAAGUGCUGGCGAAGCGGCAUGGGCGUCCCACUCCGUUCCUCAACCAAUUUCCUCACAAUCGCGAGCCGAAGUGUGGCGCUUUGGCAGUUUCGCAAGGUCUUUUGUCAGGAGAUGAGUGACUGAGGAUUGGGAGUCUUUGGAGCUCUUGGACCUGAAGAACGAUUAAGUUUUUCUCCCUUCAGAGAGCCAAGAGAUGGGGUCUUGCUGUAUUGCCCAGGGUGGAGUGCAGUGGCUAUUCACAGGUGUGAUCAUAGCUACUAUAGCCUCAAACCCUGGUUUCAAGUGAGUCCUUUGAACUAGAACAUUGGCCUUUUCUGGUUCUGCAGAAGCUUCCAGCCUUCAGAUUUGAACUGGGACACUGGCUCUGCAGAUUUUGGACUUGCCAGCCUUCAUAAUUGUGGUCCCGCUCUGUUGCCCAGGCUGGAGGGCAGUGGCGUGAUCAUGGCUUACUGCAGCCUUGACCUCCUGCGCUCAAGUGAUCCUCCUGCGUCAGCCUCCUGGAACAUGUGGUUUUGAGCUUCAGAGCUCAGUGGCCUCAGACAGGGGCGUUGUGGCUGCAGUGUCCACCGCCUGCCCAGAGAACCUACACUCCUGUCAUUUGUGGAAUGAUUGCUGGAGCCAGAGGCCAGGAAGAAGUUCAUGAGCCUGAGAGAAAAAGCAAGGAUUUCCAGUUCUACCCUACAGAGUCUUGUUCUGUUGCCCAGGCUGCAGUGCAAUGGAGUGAUCUUGGCUCACCACAACCUCCACCUCCCAGGUUCAACCGAUUCUCCUGUGUCAGCCUCCCGAGUAGCUGGGAUUACAGGCACCUGCCAUCAUGCCUGGCUAAUUUUUUUGUAUUUUGGAGAGACGGGGUUUCACCAUGUUGGCCAGGCUGGUCCUGAACUCCUGACCUCAGGUGAUCCACCUGCCUCUGCCUCCCAAAGUCCUGGGGUUACAGGCAUGAGCCACCGCACCCAGCCCCAUUCACAUCACUUUAAACUGAAGACAUUAUCACAGAACCCUAGGAGUGACAUGAGACUCCUUGCACAUGGGAAAUCUUUGCUUAUGGAAAAGAAGAAAAGCAAGGUCAGGGGCAGGUGGAUAGACAUAAAGGUCUUUACCAACAAGUUCAGGCUUCUUGUUUGAGAGAAUCUGGUAGAAGAUGUGGUAGCUUCUCUCAGCUGCUUGCUGUGAGAUGACACGAGAUUUCUCUAAGAGAUCUGAAAAAGAAGUGAAGAUCCUGGUGAGUACACAGCUGUUUCCCUGGAGUUCAGGGCUCCAUACAAAGCAGGAAUCUCCUCUCCAUAAAGCCCAGAACAGUCACCAGUGGUGAGCCCCACGCUUCGCUCUUUCCAGACACGCAGCCUCCGGGGACCUGACUGCCACAAGGGGAGUCCUGGGAACGGGGCCAGCCUCCUGGGCACCAACAGGCUGCAAUCAGAAGGACCUCCCACUUGGCUUAAUGCUCUUCUGUUGCUGUUUUGAAAUUCCUUUAUUAUUAUUAUUAUUAUUAUUAUUAUUAUUUUUAGAGACAGGGUCUUGCUGCGUUACCCAGGCUGGAGUGCAGUGGUGUGAUUAUUUAUUUAUUUAUUCUUUUAUUUUUAUUUAUUUUUUUGAGAUGGAGUCUUGCUCUGUUGCCCAGGCUGGAGUGCAAUGGAGUGAUCUCGGCUCACUGCAACCUCUACCUCCCAGGUUCAAAGCAGGAAUCCCCUCUCCAUAAAGCCCAGAACAGUCACCAGUGGUGACUGUUCACUGCAGCCUCUAACUCCUGGGCUCAAGUGAUCCUCUUGCCUUAGCCUCCUGAGUAGCUGGGACUACAGGCAUGUACCACCAUGCCAGGCUAAUUUUUCACAUUUUUUGUAGAGAUGGGAUCUUACUAUGUUGCCCAGGCUGGUCUUGAACUCCUAGGCUCAAGCGACCCUCCCGCCUCGGCCUCCCAAAGUGCUAGGAUUACAGGCAUAAGCCACCUCACCUGGCCUGAAAUUCUUAAUAUUUUUUAAGAAGAGCCCCUCAUUUUCAUGUUGCACCAGGCCUCACAGAUUAUGUAGCUGCCCAGACAAACCCUCCAAGGAGGGCCUGACUUACAGCUCUCGAUGUCGGCUCCAGCCAGUUUCCCUGUGGUUCCAAAGUGGAUUCGGAUGAACUUGCCCUGAGCAGGGAAGAGAGGGGAGGGAUCAGGAGGGAGGUCAUCCACAGCUUUAGACCAGUAAGUAGCCCAGAGUUGGCCAAGGGUUGCUGAUCGGGGCCUGCGGGGAUGUAACCGGGCUCUAUUGGAGUAUCGGAUUUCCCACGAAGAUAGACAGAGAAACACACGGAGAGGUCUCAGAGCUAAAUCUAGGGUCUGUGGUUUGGGGCAUUUGUAGGGGAGAGAAGUCCCAGCAGGAGGGCUGCUACCCUUUGGAAUUCUGCAUAGAGACCAGGCACCAUGGGAAUUUGGAGCACCUCCCAUGCCUCUUUAUCGGGAGCCUUCCAUGUCAUUCUUCUCUCUGGCUUGCAUGGUACAGCCAUCAAUAAAUUCUUCCGGAAACAGGACUCUCUAUCUCUCUCUACCUCGGCUGCUCCUGGGCCUGUCUGUACUCACCUCUGUUCCUCCCCUCAUCCCCCCGCCAGCCCUGUUUUCCCAGGCUCUGUGCAAGCUCACUGGGCUCUGCCAAUGGGAAGCCCGAGACCUGGGAGUGAGGGAGACGAGGCCAGGGCAUUGCUCCUCUCAAGUUGGCAUCUCAGGUGGUGCUGGGUGCCUCUGUGACUACAGCUCCCGCCAGACAGCUGCACUGGUUUAAGAACCCACUAGGACCCUAGGACAGCACCUCUCUUAUGUCCCUCCAGCCUGGAAGGAGGUUGCAGCUUCUCGCUGCUGUGAAUCUGUCUCCCCAGGUGACCUCCCAGCCCCUCCAC